AAGGUAGUAAGCAACUAAAAGAAAUAGCAGCCUGCCUGGUAUUCUUGGGCCUGGCUCAAAGAAUGGGGCUCUCCUGAGUAUGGCAGUGGCUUUCCAGAGGAUCUCGGUACCUUCCUCACUUCUGGGACCUCUGCAGACUGGUGUGGGACAGAGUGGGUCUGUCUGGCAGCUGAGCUGAGCAUGGGAAGAGCAGGCAUCCGACUGUCCAUUAUAGCUGUGCUUCUCCCUUUUGGUCCAAAAAAGCAAGAUUUGGAAUAUUCUCGUGAGGAGAUAAGAGUCAGUCAUUGGUGGAGGUGUAUUGUCAUGGUGUUCAAUUUUCUUUACAAGCUCUUGACUUCCUGAACAUGGGAUGAAUGAAACCAAGUGCUGGACCUGGACUACCUCCAGCUCAGAAGGCCCUUCGGGGUUCUUUUAAGAUGAUGUGCCAGGGCUGGACCUGUCUGCUGUGGGUGCUGCCCACCAUUCCCUCUUGUGAGCAUCUCGCACCAGGCCGCACGCAGCCACCCCGCUGCCACUGUCCUGCUCAGCAUCGCUAACAGCUGUGCAGGCACCACAGGGAUCUGCCCUGCCAUGGGCAGCACUGCCUGCAUGUGCCGUGUCUGUCUGCAGCCCUUUGCUGUGCAUGGGAGGCGGUGUGCCCUGUGGGGCACUGCUCAGUGCAUGCAGUACCAGCAGGUUCUCCUGAACAAAAUUGGUACAGGCAGUUGGAUUGUGUGAUGGUUUCUUGGCGUUUGUGGUUAAUUUGUGGUGCUCUGAAGGACAAAGCCAGUGAGGAGAGCCAGUGGGUGUGAGGAGCAGUUGUAGAUAAGAUCGUUUGCUUUGUUGUUAAAGCAGCAAGCCCUCUGGAGGCCAGCGUGAGCUCCUUUCGUUGCAGAGCAAGGACACCACAAGGGUGGAACCAGGAACUGCUUCAUUUCUUCUUGUCCGAGGGUCCCUGCGCUAUGCUGUGCUGUAUGAAACCCGACAGCCUCAUUUUCCUAGCAAGAAGUUGAAAUUUUCAUUCUGCUUUUGUCUCCAGUUUUUGGACAAGACUAAAAAUUCAGUCCUAAAAAUUCAUCCUUUUAGAACUGAAAGAUCAGUGCCUGCAUUACUCCCUGGUGGUACAGGCUGGUGUGCCUAGCAGCAGGGGUCAAUAUGGUAGUUUAAGGACCAGUAGAGUAGUUUAGCAAAGGAGCUCUGGGGUCACAACAGAAUCAAAGAAUCAUAGAGUGGCCUGGGUGGAAAAGGACCAUAACGAUCACUUAGAUUCAACCCCCUGCCAUGGGCUGCUGCUGUCUUUGCAUCUCAGCAGGUGCAGGGACAUUUUCCUCAGAUUUCACAUGUAUUGUUUUGGAAGUUGCUUUAUUAUUAUGGCCAAAGACACAGCUCAAUAGAAACAGAAGCAGUUGCUGGGAGGUACGUGGCUGCUUCCUCCGGCGGUGCCCCGCAGUCCCUCCCCGCACACAGCAGCUCCGCUGGGUGCAGUGCCCCACGCUGACAGGGGCUGCCUUCAUCUCUUGUAUUUAUCUACAGUUCCUUUGUGCCCUAAGGGAUUGAUUUAUUUCUGUGUAUUACACCUGAAUGAUUUUCCAUUGUCAAUUUAAAAAAGUGAUAUUUGUUUAGAAGUUUAACAAAAAAGUUGAGGAGCAUUGAUAAUGCACAGAAAUCUGUCAGGAAAGCAUCUUCCACCUGGGAGUAUUUUUCAGCUUUUCAGCAGUUAAAUAGAAGUACAGAACACAGCCUUUGCAGUCCCCGGUAACAUAAAGCUCCGUAAGUGCUGCAUUAACGGCAGCAGGUCGUUACUUACUGCUCACAGCGAAGCCUCCUGCGCUGCCCUUCUGUGCUCAUUGGUGAGUUCCUUCCAGCCGGGCACUCCGUCCCUUCCUUGCGAUGAUGUCCUCCACUGCUGUGAGUGAGUGCUUUGGAGCUGGGCUGAGGAGCUGCUGACCGUGCCUUGCUGCUCUGCCUGCUGUGCUCCAAAUGUCAGUGCUGCAGCUGGGCAGUGCUAUUUUAGUGCGCUCAGACCUUUCAUGGAGAUCAGCUUUGAGUUGGGUUCAAAAGAGACACAUUUGUGCGUUUAGCAAAGCAGUGAGCUGAAGUUAAGGGCGGGUGUUUUCUUUUCUUAAGCAGUUCCCAGGCCUGGCCGUGACCUAUUCUGUAAGGCUGGCUGCCCCGAUGGCUUCUGUUUUUGUUAAUGGGAGUGUUCUGCACUGGAGUUCACAGGGUUGCGUCACGUUUCUCUGGGCAUGCUCUGAGGCCCAGAGAUUUAUUCUUGGGACAGGUGAUACACCUCUGCUUUAUGGCCAUUUUUUUCUACUUUCUGCAGUUUUGUCUUAUUCUUUUUUUUUUUUUUUACGUUAAUCGCCUGCCUGCCUUCCUCCCUUCCCAUUCUUCUCAUACGUUUACUGAAGGGGCAUUAAAACCAAGCACAAAAUCCAUUGAAUUGUUUGGUAAACAAGGAGCUCAUAUAAUCUCUCAUUAGGAAUGUGAGAAAAUAUUGCUGUUAUAUAUUAAAGUAAAAUUUGUAAAUGGUGUAUGGCAGUGUUAACAGACGUUCAGCAGAUGACUUAAUCUCUGUCUUACAGCACUACCCAGGACCCCCUCGAAUACACAUUUCCCUGGCAGACUCUCCUUCCAUGCUUGCAGGUGUACAGUGCUGCUGCUUCGCCGUGGUGCGCCCAUCCUGCACUCAGCCAGGGUGUGCUGACCUGAGUUAACAGUCCCUGAAGGUCACUGAGUCUUUCUAAGUGGAAUAUGGGGACAUCUUCAGAGACGUUCACAAAAUUGCCUUGCAUUUUUGCUCUAGCUUGCAGCUAUGGAAGAAGUGAGGUUUCCUGGAAACAUCACAUCUGGCAAUCGUCUCAGCAGUGCAGUGUCAUCUUCCCUGCCAGCUGCCCUAACAUGCUGAUAACUGAUGUCCUAAGCCUCUAAGUAUGCACAGAACUGGAAAACUACUGCAGCGGGGGUGAGUCCUCCUCUUCCAAGGAAGAGUCCUUCAUGGGGAAACCUUCCAAUUUCUGUGCUAGGUAGACUGUUAACUCCUGGCUUUGUGCAGGUAGGAGUGUAGGUAUGCAUGAAAUCACUGCAGUGGCAGUGGGACUAUGAAGCCGUAUGCAGGAAUUGUGUGAAUGAUAUGCCAGUCCUGCAUGUGCUGAAGCAGUAAGGACACUGAGGUGAUACAGUUGCCGUCUCUAAUUAUGAGUGGGGUUACCUGUCAGGAGGUUAAUUUGUCAGUGGGACGGGACUUGUGGCUUUUCACGAAAGCAUGUGGAUGAAAUGUUCUGCAGUAUACAAAGACAUGAGGACGCAGAUCUCUGUGGCAUUGAUGCUGAUCUGGCAUCAACAGCACUGAUCUCCAGUGUGAGGUGAAUUCUAGGACAGUUUUGAUGGCAUGCUUUUGCAUGCUUGGGUUUUGAGUGCAGGUUAUUCUCCAUUUGAAGGUCUUGAUUUGAAUCAGGAAGUCUGACUUGAAACAUUCCGAAGUGUGCAGAGGGGUUCUCGGCACUUUGCAGGACUUGGUUCCUUUCCUUGCAUCUUGCAUCACAUGCCUGUUGCUCUCCUGCAGCCUAGAAGUGGGGCUUUGAUGCUGUGAAGUGGUCGUUUGAGUGUCUUCCUGUCUCAUUUCCCACUGCUUCCCCACCCUCUGAAAGGAAAAGAAAAAGGCUGCUUUGAAACAGAAAGUGAAGCAUCUUGUUCUUGUCAGCCCUGCUGUAACAGUAAAGGAAAGCACUGAUGUCCAAUGCGGCAGGCACGGCUGCUGCUUCCCAGCUGAGAAGGUAGGCUGACCAGCAGCUGUGCAGCAAAGCAGUGCUGCCAGAACUGACUUCUCAACUCUGCAUGAUGGAGUUCUGGAAAUGAGCGCUUUCAGCUUUGAUGUUGGGGGAGUGAAUGUUUAACGGACUGUGGUUUUGUGGGACUGUUUCUCUGAAGAAAACAAUACUAACACCAUGUUUAUCUUAAACAGCUAAUUUAGACAAAGGACCUCGGAAUAACAACGUAAGCAGACUGAUACUGCAGUUGAUUUCCAUCUAUUGUAAUGCUGGGGAUCCAGGUUUGUCUUAGAAAAGCUCAUUUGCUUUUUUUGUAGUUUAGUGAGGAGUAGAGUGGAGCUCUGAGGAAUACCGUGCAUUUGUUCUGCAUGCAGGCACGCUUAGUGGUGAGCCCUGGGGGCUGGUCCUGCUUCCCCAGCACUGCCCACCCAAACUCAACAACAUACGUUCAUAACAGUUCUCGUUUGGCUCUACUUACGUACACUGGUUUGAAUCCUCGGAAUGAGAGUACGAAAACGUUAAAUGCAGUCUGCCUUUGAAUGGAAUCUUAAUUUUGUUCUUUAUAGAAGGAUAUAAAUCUAUAUAUUUUUAGAAAUCCUAAUUUUGAAAUCCUAUGUUGUCACUUAGUUCUUGCUAAGCCAGGGGUUCCUUCCUUUGCUUUGCCAAAUAUUUCUGGGCAUUUGAACCCAAAGUAUUUUAAAGUGAGCUGAGGGGCAUCUUUGGAUGGGGCAGCAUGACUUUAUUACCUGAAAGGAAAUGUUAGGUGACAGUGCUUGCCUUUCACAAUGAGUAAAAACCACAGUCUUGGGUGUGUGUUUAACGUACUGAGAUAAAGGAGGAAAAGCUUAAAAACAAUCCUUAAAAAAGGACCUUCUCAUGCUAAAUGUUCAAAGCUGUUCCAGUGGCUUUAAAGAGCUGUUCUGUUUUCAGCCCGUUAGUGAUUCUCCCUCUUGCUUCAGCUUCACUUGUAUUGCUAUUCCACGUUGUUUAUUGUUAGAAAUAGAACAGUAGAAGCAGAGCACCACUUGCCAGGGAAGCAGAAGUGAAACAUCGUUGGCCUUCCUCUCUGAAGAUCAUGAGUAGGCAGCAAAUAUUGGAAAAGGAAGGCAAUGCUGAGUGGGCUGAGUGCACUCAGACACCAGUUGGCCAAUGGAACGUGUGGAUUCCGGUUGGUUUCUCUGAAGCUGUGCAGGGCUUAUGGUGCAGAGGGCAGUUCAAGCUUUGCAGCUGUUAGUAGGAAAUUGUUUUAAAACAUGAUCAUAUGCUGACAAGUAACAGAAUCCAAGGGUGAGCAGCUUUGGAGAUGACUUCUUUGUGUUGUAUGUUGUAUUCUGAGAUGUGUCACUGUAGGAUCGCUUAAUGGCAUGGCUGUACUUCUUGGUUUGCAACGUCAUUCUUGGUUAAAGCUUGCCAGAAUGUUUACAUUAAGGCUACCAAGGUAGUUCUGCCUUCAGUAAAAGGCUGAAGUGUGCAGCUCUGCAUGAGUGUGUGAGGUCCCAGAAGGAGAGAAAUGCUGUGUUCUCAAGUGCAGGCUGCUGAUCUGUGAUGGAUUAAAUGUUACGGCACACAUAAUUUUUUUGUGUGCUUCAGAGAGAAGCAAUCAUUUGUUCUGAGGCAGAAGAUUAAGAGCUUAGAGGGUGGGCAGGAAGCCUCAGCUCUGUGUACAGUUUCACCCCCAUCGGAAUGAUUCCAGACAUCAGGGCAGACUGAAGGGUCACUUCAUUAUGCAAACGUGGAUAUUUUUCCAAAAUGCCAGCCAAUUUUAAUAUAUAAGGAUCUGCAGACACGGCUGUUAUUUCCAGAGGGUCAGAAAGCGGUGAGUGUGAUCGCCAGAAGGACUCCUGCUGUACAUCACGUGCUUUUGGUGGCUUAAGAACAACUGAUAAUGUAUUUCACCCUUAGCCAUAUAAGUCUUUUUCUUCCCCUGAACUCCGAAACUCCUAUCUCCUGGUCUUGUCAUUUUUCUUUUAUUAACAAAAUGAUUUGGAGGUUUGGUGUGAGCUCAGUGCCUAUGAAAGGAAACUGCUUUUAUAGUCCUACUGAUCAGACCUACAUCAGAACCAGAGAAUGCGUUUUCAUGGCCAGAAACAGGAGAAAACUGACCUGAUGUUAUAGCUCAGCUGGUUACGGAGGGGCUGGCCAUGGUGGUGGCCAGGCGGUCCUCGUGCCGCUGCUGCUGGCAGAAGUGAAAGCUGGGCUGGUAGCUCUGUUGCCAUUGGGAACAGGAGCGGGGCUGACAGACUGAGAUCUGAUCUUCUCUAAAUGUACCUUACUGCACCAAACCGCUGCCAUACAUACACAGUGUACCCUAAUCUUAUUAGAGGUCUGUGCCUCAUUAUCAAACCCUUCCAACCCAACUAAAUGUGAAGCCACGUAGACUGUGUAUGUUUACAUCCAGUUGCUGUGAAGGGACUGAAGUGGAAUGAACAAGAUAAAUAUUUUUCUAGAAUAAUCCCUCUAGAACUCCUGCUAAUUACGAAGGCACUGCAGGACUUACAGAUGGGUGUUUUAAGCUAUCAAAGCAUGCCAGCAAAUAUUUUGUGCCUAGCGUUGCCAUGCUGGCUGGUCGAUGCAUGUCAAUCACUGUAGAACAGACCUGGGAGGCCUUACAAGGACCUUUCUCCAGCUCAGCCUGGAUCUGGCCGUGCUCCGAUGGCCAUAGCUCAGGGUGAGACAUCCUGGUGCUCGGGGCACAGGGUGUGGGGUGCUGGGGCUGCUGCGAGUCACAGUAAGCCCAGGGGCUGCAGUGAUCGCACUGUUAGGGUUGCUUGAGGAGGUUCUGGUGCGUGUCAAUACAAAGACAUCGUCGGAACUUCUGGGGAUUUCACUUUGCUUUUUUGAGGAGCCUAGAAAGCUGCAUUGGUGGAAAGUCAUGGUAACAGUGAUUGCUAGAGUAAUCUCGGAAGCAUAGCACACGCUGCAUGCAGUGCUAUGAGACUUGCACAGAUGGUGAUCUGGAACUGUCUUGAAGUACAUCUCCAGAAACGUUCCUUCCACAGCAACCCAUGGUUCAGGCAGCACUAUCAAUUACAGCGUAAUGCAAAACUUCUGCAGUGAAACCCAUCACUGGUGUUCACUGUCACACUUAGGUCUGGUUUGCUGUCACACUUCCACCUGGAAGACCUUCCCUGUGGAGUGUCCUGCAGAACACAGCAGUCCCAGUCUGUGUGACCCAAACUCAGGUGUGUGCCUGUCCUGUCCUGCUUCCUGAGAGCACAGCUUAGGUCAGCAUCUGAUGCUGUUCCUAUAACCGCUCAUUUCAGGAAGAACUUG
Molecule: long non-coding RNA, 7022 nt
Filed under: Gallus gallus (chicken)
Lineage: Eukaryota; Metazoa; Chordata; Aves; Galliformes; Phasianidae
Source: RNAcentral